UGCAAGAGCUAUAAGCAGUGGUAUUUACAAAUAAUUGAUCAGAACCAGUUACAAAUUUCUUUGUUCCUUUUCCACUCCCACUGCUUCACUUCACUAGCCUUUA
RNAcentral lists this Y RNA (103 nucleotides) under Colobus angolensis palliatus. RNAcentral's name for it is "Y RNA (ENSCANG00000000205.1)". It matches the Rfam family "Y RNA". Rfam says of the family: Y RNAs are components of the Ro ribonucleoprotein particle (Ro RNP), in association with Ro60 and La proteins. The Y RNAs and Ro60 and La proteins are well conserved, but the function of the Ro RNP is not known. In humans the RNA component can be one of four small RNAs -- hY1, hY3, hY4 and hY5. Lineage: Eukaryota; Metazoa; Chordata; Mammalia; Primates; Cercopithecidae. The record is from RNAcentral.